RNAcentral lists this ribosomal RNA (444 nucleotides) under uncultured bacterium. Its description in RNAcentral is "partial 16S ribosomal RNA". It matches the Rfam family "Bacterial small subunit ribosomal RNA", at positions 354 to 795 of the family's 1533-position model. The record is from RNAcentral.
GUGAGGAAUAUUGCGCAAUGGAGGCAACUCUGACGCAGCCAUGCCGCGUGCAGGAAGAAGGCGCUACGCGUUGUAAACUGCUUUUAACCGGGAAGAAACCCCAGGACGUGUCCUGGGUUGACGGUACCGGAGGAAUAAGCACCGGCUAACUUCGUGCCAGCAGCCGCGGUAAUACGAAGGGUGCAAGCGUUAUCCGGAUUCAUUGGGUUUAAAGGGUGCGUAGGCGGAGCGUUAAGUCAGUGGUGAAAUCCUGCAGCUUAACUGUAGACGUGCCAUUGAUACUGGCGCUCUUGAGUGCGCUUGAAGUGGGCGGAAUGUGCCGUGUAGCGGUGAAAUGCUUAGAUAUGGCACAGAACACCAAUUGCGAAGGCAGCUCACUAAGGCGAUACUGACGCUGAGGCACGAAAGCGUGGGGAUCGAACAGGAUUAGAUACCCGUGUAGUC